Molecule: transfer RNA, 189 nt
Filed under: uncultured marine group II euryarchaeote DeepAnt-JyKC7
Lineage: Archaea; Methanobacteriati; Thermoplasmatota; Candidatus Poseidoniia; Candidatus Poseidoniales
Description: tRNA-Trp
Rfam family: tRNA
About the family: Transfer RNA (tRNA) molecules are approximately 80 nucleotides in length. Their secondary structure includes four short double-helical elements and three loops (D, anti-codon, and T loops).
Source: RNAcentral
GGGGGUAUAGUAUAACCUGGUAGUACCGCGGGCUCCAGUUGCACGGGAAUGACGACGAGUGGGUAAUCUGAUGGUUUUGAUGACCAACUGGAGCACCGACCCUUCGCAAACCGAGAGCGUGCAUCUGCCAGGUGCACGCUAGGCGGAAGAUACCCGCUGAUCUGGGUUCGAAUCCCAGUGCCCCCACCA